GUUUGGAUAGCUUAAAAUAAAGCGUCGACCUUGUAAAUCGAAAAUUGGAACGCGAUUUUUCCAUCCGGACA
This 71-nucleotide transfer RNA is filed under the name Lepidosiren paradoxa (South American lungfish). RNAcentral describes it as "tRNA-Thr". It matches the Rfam family "tRNA". Rfam says of the family: Transfer RNA (tRNA) molecules are approximately 80 nucleotides in length. Lineage: Eukaryota; Metazoa; Chordata; Ceratodontiformes; Lepidosirenidae. The record is from RNAcentral.